Molecule: ribosomal RNA, 435 nt
Filed under: uncultured bacterium
Lineage: Bacteria
Description: partial 16S ribosomal RNA
Rfam family: Bacterial small subunit ribosomal RNA
Source: RNAcentral
AGCGAACGCUGGCGGCAGGCUUAACACAUGCAAGUCGAACGGGCAUAGCAAUAUGUCAGUGGCAGACGGGUGAGUAACGCGUGGGAACGUACCUUUUGGUUCGGAACAACACAGGGAAACUUGUGCUAAUACCGGAUAAGCCCUUACGGGGAAAGAUUUAUCGCCGAAAGAUCGGCCCGCGUCUGAUUAGCUAGUUGGUAGGGUAAUGGCCUACCAAGGCGACGAUCAGUAGCUGGUCUGAGAGGAUGAUCAGCCACAUUGGGACUGAGACACGGCCCAAACUACUACGGGAGGCAGCAGUGGGGAAUAUUGGGCAAUGGGCGAAAGCCUGAUCCAGCCAUGCCGCGUGAGUGAUGAAGGCCCUAGGGUUGUAAAGCUCUUUUGUGCGGGAAGAUAAUGACGGUACCGAAAGAAUAAGCCCCGGCUAACUUCGUG